Molecule: ribosomal RNA, 342 nt
Filed under: Flavobacterium sp. JRM
Lineage: Bacteria; Pseudomonadati; Bacteroidota; Flavobacteriia; Flavobacteriales; Flavobacteriaceae
Description: bacterial LSU rRNA
Rfam family: Bacterial large subunit ribosomal RNA
Source: RNAcentral
CCGCUUACCCGCAGUGGGACGAAAAGACCCUGUGCACCUUUACUAUAGCUUAGUAUUGACCUUGGAUAAAUGAUGUGUAGGAUAGGUUGGAGACUGUGAAGUGGCGUCGCUAGGCGUUGUGGAGUCAUUGUUGAAAUACAACCCUUUGUUUAUCUGAGGCCUAACCCCGCUGAUGCGGGGGACAUUGCUUGGUGGGUAGUUUGACUGGGGUGGUCGCCUCCAAAAGAGUAACGGAGGCUUCUAAAGGUUCCCUCAGUACGCUUGGUAACCGUGCGUAGAGUGCAAUGGCAUAAGGGAGCUUGACUGAGAGACAUACAGGUCGAUCAGGUACGAAAGUAGAGC